ACAACAUUGCUAUCAGCAAAGAUGAUUGGAGACGGUCUAUCUUGCUAGAAUAGUCACUUUUCUGCACGUCCUUUCUGCCCGCCCACUUCUGGUGAGUUUUUCACUUUCGCCGAGCAUUUUGACAUCUAACUAAGGUGUUUGGUGCAGUAUAACUCAAGUGUAAAAAUGUGCAUAAAACGAGUGGUCUAUUGUUGAAUGACAACACAUCAUUGAAGAAUCCCUACUGUUGACCAAUGAUGAUGAAGGGGAGCAGACUUCGGCUCCAGAUCUUCAGUUUGACUCGAGAAAAAUUUUUGUGCAAACAACCCAAAAAAACCUUGGAAGACCAAAACGAGGAAAGACAUAAUAUACGAACAAACUGUUCCGCACAAGAAGCAUGUGGACGCCUUUAGAUCCAUAAUUUCUCUCUCCCUGUGGCAUAGCUAGGUCUCUCUCUCUCUCCCUGUGGCAUAGCUAGAUCUCUCUCCCUGUGGCAUGGCUAUGUCUGUCUCCCUGUGGCAUAGCUAGGUCUCUCUCUCUCCCUGUGGCAUAGCUAUGUCUCUCUCCCUGUGG
Oncorhynchus tshawytscha (Chinook salmon) is the source of this 552-nucleotide long non-coding RNA. Lineage: Eukaryota; Metazoa; Chordata; Actinopteri; Salmoniformes; Salmonidae. The record is from Ensembl.